RNAcentral lists this ribosomal RNA (393 nucleotides) under uncultured bacterium. RNAcentral describes it as "partial 16S ribosomal RNA". It matches the Rfam family "Bacterial small subunit ribosomal RNA", at positions 523 to 918 of the family's 1533-position model. The record is from RNAcentral.
AUACGGAGGAUGCGAGCGUUAUCCGGAUUUAUUGGGUUUAAAGGGAGCGUAGGUGGGAUAUUAAGUCAGCUGUGAAAGUUUGGGGCUCAACCUUAAAAUUGCGGUUGAUACUGGUUUCCUUGAGUACGGUACAGGUGGGCGGAAUUCGUGGUGUAGCGGUGAAAUGCUUAGAUAUCACGAAGAACUCCGAUCGCGAAGGCAGCUCACCGGGCCGGAACUGACACUGAUGCUCGAAAGUGCGGGUAUCAAACAGGAUUAGAUACCCUGGUAGUCCGCACAGUAAACGAUGAAUACUCGCUGUUUGCGAUACACUGUAAGCGGCCAAGCGAAAGCGUUAAGUAUUCCACCUGGGGAGUACGCCGGCAACGGUGAAACUCAAAUGAAUUGACGGGG